RNAcentral lists this ribosomal RNA (465 nucleotides) under uncultured bacterium. RNAcentral describes it as "partial 16S ribosomal RNA". It matches the Rfam family "Bacterial small subunit ribosomal RNA", at positions 28 to 507 of the family's 1533-position model. The record is from RNAcentral.
GACGAACGCUGGCGGCGUGCUUAACACAUGCAAGUCGAACGGAAAGGCCCUGCUUGCAGGGUACUCGAGUGGCGAACGGGUGAGUAACACGUGGGUGAUCUGCCCUGCACUUCGGGAUAAGCUUGGGAAACUGGGUCUAAUACCGGAUAGGAACCAUCUUUAGUGUGGUGGUUGGAAAGUUUUUUCGGUGUAGGAUGAGCUCGCGGCCUAUCAGCUUGUUGGUGGGGUAAUGGCCUACCAAGGCGGCGACGGGUAGCCGGCCUGAGAGGGUGUACGGCCACAUUGGGACUGAGAGACGGCACAGACUCCGACGGGAGGCAGCAGUGGGGAAUAUUGCACAAUGGGCGCAAGCCUGAUGCAGCGACGCCGCGUGGGGGAUGAAGGCCUUCGGGUUGUAAACUCCUUUCGCUAGGGACGAAGCUUUUUGUGACGGUACCUAGAUAAGAAGCACCGGCUAACUACGUG